This 468-nucleotide ribosomal RNA is filed under the name uncultured bacterium. RNAcentral describes it as "partial 16S ribosomal RNA". It matches the Rfam family "Bacterial small subunit ribosomal RNA", at positions 28 to 507 of the family's 1533-position model. The record is from RNAcentral.
GACGAACGCUGGCGGCGUGCUUAACACAUGCAAGUCGAACGGAAAGGCCCUGCUUUUGUGGGGUGCUCGAGUGGCGAACGGGUGAGUAACACGUGAGUAACCUGCCCUUGACUUUGGGAUAACUUCAGGAAACUGGGGCUAAUACCGGAUAGGAGCUCCUGCUGCAUGGUGGGGGUUGGAAAGUUUCGGCGGUUGGGGAUGGACUCGCGGCUUAUCAGCUUGUUGGUGGGGUAGUGGCUUACCAAGGCUUUGACGGGUAGCCGGCCUGAGAGGGUGACCGGCCACAGUGGGACUGAGAUACGGCCCAGACUCCUACAGGAGGCAGCAGUGGGGAAUAUUGCACAAUGGGCGGAAGCCUGAUGCAGCAACGCCGCGUGCGGGAUGACGGCCUUCGGGUUGUAAACCGCUUUCGCCUGUGACGAAGCGUGAGUGACGGUAAUGGGUAAAGAAGCACCGGCUAACUACGUG